ACUGCAGUGUCUGCUUGACCCUUCGCCGUGAGUCCCUGAGACAUCUGCCAACAGGACCCUUCCCACAUAAACCUCGGAAGCAGCAGCAGUGGGAGGAAUGAGGUGAAACCCCAGUGCUGCCCGGCCACUGACCUGACCUCACAAGGCAGACUAGUACAGAGUCAACCAAAAUUAUCCCUGGCAGGACUUCAAUCCUUUCAGUAGCCUUGUGAUUCCUGCCCAGUGGGUGCUGUUGGAGACCUAGCGGGAGCCCGAAAGAAAACCUUCACAAAGAACUAAAAGAAUGAGAAAGUUAUUCUGAGAAAUCACCUCCUCAGGGUACGGGGAACUGUGGGCUGAAAUCAGCACGCUCCUGAAUACACCGCGGGCAGGGUGUAGCUCUGACUGUGACGGCGACAUGUGGAUGCUGCAAUGGCAUGCGGGAGGAGCAGUGGGUCUUGCACACCAAACCGGAGUGCCAGCACAUCAGGCUAAAAGAAGUGCCUGCUUAAAAAAA
Molecule: long non-coding RNA, 496 nt
Organism: Athene cunicularia (burrowing owl)
Lineage: Eukaryota; Metazoa; Chordata; Aves; Strigiformes; Strigidae
Exons: 2
Source: RefSeq, a predicted model, not a curated record